Molecule: non-coding RNA, 112 nt
Organism: Acanthosepion pharaonis
Lineage: Eukaryota; Metazoa; Mollusca; Cephalopoda; Sepiida; Sepiidae
Source: the annotation of a GenBank genome assembly
UACGGCAAUAUCAUGUUGAAACAUAGGUUCCCGUACGAUCACCAAAGUUAAGCAACGUCGAGCCUGGUCAGUACCUAGAUGGGUGACCGCUUGGUAAUACCAGGUGUUGUUG